Molecule: ribosomal RNA, 587 nt
Filed under: Rhabditidae sp. NK-2011b
Lineage: Eukaryota; Metazoa; Nematoda; Chromadorea; Rhabditida; Rhabditidae
Description: SSU rRNA
Rfam family: Eukaryotic small subunit ribosomal RNA
Source: RNAcentral
UUCUGACCGUAAACGAUGCCAUCUAGCGAUCCGAUAGGGAUUUGAGGCCCUGUCGGGGAGCUUCCCGGAAACGAAAGUCUUUCGGUUCCUGGGGUAGUAUGGUUGCAAAGCUGAAACUUAAAGAAAUUGACGGAAGGGCACCACCAGGAGUGGAGCCUGCGGCUUAAUUUGACUCAACACGGGAAAACUCACCCGGCCCGGACACCGUUAGGACUGACAGAUUGAAAGCUCUUUCUUGAUUUGGUGGUUGGUGGUGCAUGGCCGUUCUUAGUUGGUGGAGCGAUUUGUCUGGUUUAUUCCGAUAACGAGCGAGACUCUGCCCUGCUAUUUAGUGUUCGGAUUCUUAAGUCUGGAUAGCUUCUUAGAGGGAUAAGCGGUGUUCAGCCGCACGAGAUAGAGCGAUAACAGGUCUGUGAUGCCCUUAGAUGUCCGGGGCUGCACGCGCGCUACACUGGAAGACUCAACUGGUUCCUGGGCCGAAAGGUUCGGGAAAACCGCUGAAACUCUUCCGUGACCGGGAUAGGGAAUUGUAAUUAUUUCCCUUGAACGAGGAAUUCCUAGUAUGUGUGGGUCAUCAGCUCACGCAG